UACGAAGGGGGCUAGCGUUGUUCGGAAUUACUGGGCGUAAAGGGCGCGUAGGCGGUCUUGUAAGUCAGAUGUGAAAGCCCCGGGCUCAACCCGGGAAUAGCAUUUGAUACUGCGAGGCUUGAGUCCGGGAGAGGAUGGCGGAAUUCCCAGUGUAGAGGUGAAAUUCGUAGAUAUUGGGAAUAACACUGGUGGCGAAGGCGGCCAUCUGGAUCGGUACUGACGCUGAGGCGCGAAAGCGUGGGGAGCAAACAGG
This 253-nucleotide ribosomal RNA is filed under the name uncultured bacterium. RNAcentral's name for it is "partial 16S ribosomal RNA". It matches the Rfam family "Bacterial small subunit ribosomal RNA", at positions 524 to 776 of the family's 1533-position model. The record is from RNAcentral.